RNAcentral lists this small nuclear RNA (202 nucleotides) under Hapsidospora chrysogenum ATCC 11550. RNAcentral's name for it is "Acremonium chrysogenum ATCC 11550 U2 spliceosomal RNA". It matches the Rfam family "U2 spliceosomal RNA". Rfam says of the family: U2 is a small nuclear RNA (snRNA) component of the spliceosome (involved in pre-mRNA splicing). Complementary binding between U2 snRNA (in an area lying towards the 5' end but 3' to hairpin I) and the branchpoint sequence (BPS) of the intron results the bulging out of an unpaired adenosine, on the BPS, which initiates a nucleophilic attack at the intronic 5' splice site, thus starting the first of two transesterification reactions that mediate splicing. The record is from Rfam by way of RNAcentral. Lineage: Eukaryota; Fungi; Ascomycota; Sordariomycetes; Hypocreales; Bionectriaceae.
UUAGCUCUCUUUGCCUCAUGGCUUAGAUCAAGUGUAGUAUCUGUUCUUAUCAGUUUAAUAUCUGAUAUGUGACCAACGAGUCACACUCAUUUAUUAUUCUCAUUUUUGGCCUCUCGGGUGCCGGUUCCUCUGCGCUCGCGCAUGAAGCGGCUGCCCACCGUGUCCCCGGUCUUUACACUGCUUCCGGGCGAUGCGACCUCUU